GAUGAACGCUGGCGGCGUGCCUAAUACAUGCAAGUCGAGCGAACAGACGAGGAGCUUGCUCCUCUGACGUUAGCGGCGGACGGGUGAGUAACACGUGGAUAACCUACCUAUAAGACUGGGAUAACUUCGGGAAACCGGAGCUAAUACCGGAUAAUAUAUUGAACCGCAUGGUUCAAUAGUGAAAGACGGUUUUGCUGUCACUUAUAGAUGGAUCCGCGCCGCAUUAGCUAGUUGGUAAGGUAACGGCUUACCAAGGCAACGAUGCGUAGCCGACGAGAGGGUGAUCGGCCACACUGGAACUGAGACACGGUCCAGACUCCUACGGGAGGCAGCAGUAGGGAAUCUUCCGCAAUGGGCGAAAGCCUGACGGAGCAACGCCGCGUGAGUGAUGAAGGUCUUCGGAUCGUAAAACUCUGUUAUUAGGGAAGAACAAAUGUGUAAGUAACUAUGCACGUCUUGACGGUACCUAAUCAGAAAGCCACGGCUAACUACGUG
Molecule: ribosomal RNA, 495 nt
Filed under: uncultured bacterium
Lineage: Bacteria
Description: partial 16S ribosomal RNA
Rfam family: Bacterial small subunit ribosomal RNA
Source: RNAcentral